RNAcentral lists this ribosomal RNA (301 nucleotides) under uncultured bacterium. RNAcentral's name for it is "partial 16S ribosomal RNA". It matches the Rfam family "Bacterial small subunit ribosomal RNA", at positions 509 to 807 of the family's 1533-position model. The record is from RNAcentral.
CAGCAGCCGCGGUAAUACAGAGGAUGCAAGCGUUAUCCGGAAUGAUUGGGCGUAAAGCGUCUGUAGGUGGCUUUUCAAGUCCGCCGUCAAAUCCCAGGGCUCAACCCUGGACAGGCGGUGGAAACUACCAAGCUGGAGUACGGUAGGGGCAGAGGGAAUUUCCAGUGGAGCGGUGAAAUGCGUUGAGAUCGAAAAGAACACCAACGGCGAAAGCACUCUGCUGGGCCGACACUAACACUGAGAGACGAAAGCUAGGGGAGCAAAUGGGAUUAGAUACCCGCGUAGUCCCUGUCUCUUAUAC